UACAGAGGUCUCAAGCGUUGUUCGGAUUCAUUGGGCGUAAAGGGUUCGUAGGCGGCGCGGUAAGUCGGGUGUGAAAUCUCGGAGCUUAACUCCGAAACUGCAUUCGAUACUGCCGUGCUUGAGGACUGGAGAGGAGACUGGAAUUUACGGUGUAGCGGUGAAAUGCGUAGAUAUCGUAAGGAAGACCAGUGGCGAAGGCGGGUCUCUGGACAGUUCCUGACACUGAGGCACGAAGGCCAGGGGAGCAAACGGG
Molecule: ribosomal RNA, 253 nt
Filed under: uncultured bacterium
Lineage: Bacteria
Description: partial 16S ribosomal RNA
Rfam family: Bacterial small subunit ribosomal RNA
Source: RNAcentral